RNAcentral lists this ribosomal RNA (501 nucleotides) under uncultured bacterium. RNAcentral's name for it is "partial 16S ribosomal RNA". It matches the Rfam family "Bacterial small subunit ribosomal RNA", at positions 30 to 523 of the family's 1533-position model. The record is from RNAcentral.
AUUGAACGCUGGCGGCAUGCCUUACACAUGCAAGUCGAACGGCAGCACGGGUGCUUGCACCUGGUGGCGAGUGGCGAACGGGUGAGUAAUACAUCGGAACGUACCUUAUCGUGGGGGAUAACGCAGCGAAAGUUGCGCUAAUACCGCAUACGCCCUGAGGGGGAAAGCGGGGGACCGUAAGGCCUCGCGCGAUUAGAGCGGCCGAUGUCUGAUUAGCUUGUUGGUGAGGUAAAAGCUCACCAAGGCGAUGAUCAGUAGCUGGUCUGAGAGGACGAUCCGCCACACUGGGACUGAGACACGGCCCAGACUCCUACGGGAGGCAGCAGUGGAGAAUGUUGGACAAUGGGGGCAACCCUGAUCCAGCAAUGCCGCGUGAGUGAAGAAGGCCUUCGGGUUGUAAAGCUCUUUUGUCAGGGAAGAAACACCGGCUCUAACACAGUCCGGGAAUGACGGUACCUGAAGAAUAAGCACCGGCUAACUACGUGCCAGCCGCCGCCGUAA